GUAACAUUUAUCAGAGUAAGCUCAGCCUGGUUAUUUUAAAGGGACUUUGCUACACUGACGUGGAAGAUACAUUUCACAUCUAUAUUGUCACAACCACAAUGUCAGAAGCUCCCGAAACCCGCGCCUCGGUUAAGUUGAUCUCGUCUCUCUUCCUGUGUUUCUAUAUAUACAUAUAUAUGCCUCGGUUGAAAUUGGGUUCAUUGUUGCUAAGUUUUCAAUCAAGAUUGAUUCAUCUCCAUAAAAUUUUCAGUCAGAAAUGUAUUUUGAAGAUCAGUAAGCAACAAGAAAUACGCCGGCGUGACACGCACAUCAGGGGUGGGAGCAUGAAACAGUUGGGUGAGCGUAAGUAGUGAAGAGAACGGAGUGUUAAAGAUGUAUAUAAAUUGUGAACGCAAAUAUGGAACUACCAAGCUGGGUCCAGCUACUGAUUUAACACGGGGAUGUAGUUCAGAUGGUAGAGUGCUCGCUUAGCAUGCGAGAGGUACGGGGAAUAAUACCCCGCAUCUCCAAAUAGUCCAAGUUUGCACCUCUAUUGGCUAGAGAAUCCCUGCAGAGAGCGGGAGGUUCAGAAUUCAGCACUCUGUGGAAGUGAUUCUUCAUGUUUCAAUUUCUUCCCCCUUUUUUCAUUAUUUACUAAUCGAUUCUUGCCGUGUACAUACACAAUGCGUACAGGUUUUCUCUGGUUCAAUCGCAUAAAGCAGACCAAUUGCCCGGAAAUUUGUGCCGUUACCUCAUCAACACCCUACAAUCUGAAAAACAGAAAUAUACACGAUCAGAAUGAGAGAACGUGCUCUCAGCGAGACUGAAGAAGCCAUACCAAAAUGGUAGUGCAUAGAAUCAGAGCUGAAAGUUUGAAGGUAGAUAGCAGUGCACGCUUGAUUCAAAUACAUAAAAUGCGUCAAGUGAGAACAUGUUAGAAGUUAAACUUACCCCAAACAUCCAUAGAGGCAAGAGCCACAUCUCCGGGCAGCAAUGAAGUGAGAACUUCUAAGCAGAUGUGGAUAUUCUGGCACUCAAGCGGAGAGAGAACUCAGUCUCGGUUCCACACCAACCUUGUCCACCAUCAACGCCAGGACAUUCAAAAGACAAUGUUUCGAUGCUUUAGCUUGCGACUCAUGGUCAAAGACGCAUUCCAAGUUUUUGCUUCGCAGAAAGCCACCCACUCUAUCAAUCAAGCAGGCACUGUGAAAGACAUGGAAAACCUGCAAGUUCUGAAACUUAUUUUGGUGAGCUCUCUCUACUCAGAUCCGAGUGGAGACAUACAUUUGUGUACUCUAAUUUUGCUUUAAGACGUAAUCAACAACCGUCCUUGUUCAUUGGUUCCAACGCAGC
RNAcentral lists this long non-coding RNA (1332 nucleotides) under Physcomitrium patens. Its description in RNAcentral is "long non-coding RNA (PPAT_LNC008207)". The stretch from base 437 to 509 matches the Rfam family "tRNA". The record is from RNAcentral. Lineage: Eukaryota; Viridiplantae; Streptophyta; Bryopsida; Funariales; Funariaceae.